AUUGAACGCUGGCGGCACGCUUAACACAUGCAAGUCGAGCGGUAACAUGGGUAGUAGCAAUACUAUCUGAUGACGAGCGGCGGACGGGUGAGUAACACGUAGGAACUUGCCCAGUAGAGGGGGACAACCAAGGGAAACUUUGGCUAAUACCGCAUAUACCCGAGAGAGGAAAGCUUCCGCAAGGUGGCGCUACUGGAGAUGCCUGCGUCCGAUUAGCUAGUUGGUGAGGUAAUAGCUUACCAAGGCGAGGAUCGGUAACGGGUCUGAGAGGACGACCAGUCACACUGGGACUGAGACACGGCCCAGACUCCUACGGGAGGCAGCAGUGGGGAAUCUUGGACAAUGGGGGCAACCCUGAUCCAGCGAUGCCGCGUGAGUGAAGAAGGCCUUCGGGUCGUAAAGCUCUUUAGGCUGGGAAGAAGGUUAGUAGUUUAAGAGAUAACUAGCUUGACUGUACCAGCAGAAUAAGCACCGGCAAACUCUGUGCCAGCCGCCGCAGUAA
Molecule: ribosomal RNA, 502 nt
Filed under: uncultured bacterium
Lineage: Bacteria
Description: partial 16S ribosomal RNA
Rfam family: Bacterial small subunit ribosomal RNA
Source: RNAcentral